RNAcentral lists this ribosomal RNA (1430 nucleotides) under uncultured organism. RNAcentral describes it as "16S ribosomal RNA". It matches the Rfam family "Bacterial small subunit ribosomal RNA". The record is from RNAcentral.
GCUUAACACAUGCAAGUCGAGGGGCAGCAUGGUCUUAUCUUGCUAAGGCCGAUGGCGACCGGCGCACGGGUGAGUAACGCGUAUCCAACCUGCCUUACACUCUUGGACAGCCUUCUGAAAGGGAGAUUAAUACAAGAUGUUAUCAUGAGUAAGCAUUUUCGCAUGAUUAAAGGUUUACCGGUGUAAGAUGGGGAUGCGUUCCAUUAGAUAGUAGGCGGGGUAACGGCCCACCUAGUCUUCGAUGGAUAGGGGUUCUGAGAGGAAGGUCCCCCACAUUGGAACUGAGACACGGUCCAAACUCCUACGGGAGGCAGCAGUGAGGAAUAUUGGUCAAUGGACGAGAGUCUGAACCAGCCAAGUAGCGUGAAGGAUGAAGGUUCUAUGGAUUGUAAACUUCUUUUAUACGGGAAUAAACGGAUCCACGUGUGGAUUUUUGCAUGUACCGUAUGAAUAAGGAUCGGCUAACUCCGUGCCAGCAGCCGCGGUAAUACGGAGGAUCCGAGCGUUAUCCGGAUUUAUUGGGUUUAAAGGGAGCGUAGAUGGGUUGUUAAGUCAGUUGUGAAAGUUUGCGGCUCAACCGAAAAAUUUGCAAUUGAUACUGGCAGUCUUGAGUACAGUUGAGGUAGGCGGAAUUCGUGGUGUAGCGGUGAAAUGCUUAGAUAUCACGAAGAACUCCGAUUGCGAAGGCAGCUUACUAACCUGUAACUGACAUUGAUGCUCGAAAGUGUGGGUAUCAAACAGGAUUAGAUACCCUGGUAGUCCACACGGUAAACGAUGAAUACUCGCUGUAGGCGAUAUACAGUCUGCGGCCAAGCGAAAGCAUUAAGUAUUCCACCUGGGGAGUACGCCGGCAACGGUGAAACUCAAAGGAAUUGACGGGGGCCCGCACAAGCGGAGGAACAUGUGGUUUAAUUCGAUGAUACGCGAGGAACCUUACCCGGGCUUAAAUUGCAACCGAAUAUGGCGGAAACGCUAUAGCUAGCAAUAGCGGUUGUGAAGGUGCUGCAUGGUUGUCGUCAGCUCGUGCCGUGAGGUGUCGGCUUAAGUGCUAUAACGAGCGCAACCCUUGCCGAUAGUUACUAACAGGUCAUGCUGAGGACUCUGUCGGGACUGCCAUCGUAAGAUGUGAGGAAGGUGGGGAUGACGUCAAAUCAGCACGGCCCUUACGUCCGGGGCUACACACGUGUUACAAUGGGGGGUACAGAGGGCUGCUACCACGCAAGUGGAUGCCAAUCCCAAAAACCUCUCUCAGUUCGGAUUGAAGUCUGCAACCCGACUUCAUGAAGCUGGAUUCGCUAGUAAUCGCGCAUCAGCCACGGCGCGGUGAAUACGUUCCCGGGCCUUGUACACACCGCCCGUCAAGCCAUGGGAGCCGGGGUACCUGAAGUGCGUAACCGCAAGGAGCGCCCUAGGGUAAAACUGGUGACUGG